GUGCCAGCAGCCGCGGUAAGACAGAGGUCUCGAGCGUUAGGCGGAAUCACUGGGCUUAAAGCGUGUGUAGGUGGAUGUCUAAGUACCUUGUGAAAUCCCACGGCUUAACCGUGGAAUUGCUUGGUAUACUGGAUGUCUUGAGCCACUUAGGGGCAACCGGAACAAAUGGUGGAGCGGUGAAAUGCGUAGAUAUCAUUUGGAACGCCAAUGGUGAAAACAGGUUGCUGGGAGUGUGCUGACACUGAGACACGAAAGCCAGGGGAGCGAACGGGAUUAGAUACCCCAGUAGUCC
RNAcentral lists this ribosomal RNA (292 nucleotides) under uncultured bacterium. RNAcentral describes it as "partial 16S ribosomal RNA". It matches the Rfam family "Bacterial small subunit ribosomal RNA", at positions 505 to 796 of the family's 1533-position model. The record is from RNAcentral.